Long non-coding RNA from Equus caballus (horse), 4871 nucleotides. RefSeq lists it as uncharacterized. The record is from RefSeq and is a predicted model, not a curated record. Lineage: Eukaryota; Metazoa; Chordata; Mammalia; Perissodactyla; Equidae.
GCCAAUCAUCCUCACCAAAAAAAAGUUACAUUUAAAACAUACAGUGAAAUUUAAUACACUCUCAGAGUUGUGCAACCAUGACUGUUUCUCCACAUACCUCUUGUGUUUUUAGAUUAGAGUUGGCAGACCUAUUUUGAGUCGUUUGUUGUUUUGUUAUUGGGGUUUCUGCUUUUGCUUUUUUCUGUCUCUCUCUCCCUGUCCAGAAGUUGUGCAGCUGCCUCUGCCAGCCCCGCUGUCCAGCCCCAGGGCUCGUUCACGGCGCUGACCCACAGCAAUGUGGGCACCGUCACGGGCCUGCUCCUGGGCCUGGCGCUUGUUUCUGCUCUGUCUCCUGCAGCUUCGUGCGAGGCUGGAGCCGCAGCAAGAGCCCAGCCCACCCCUUGCCUUUGUCUGUGGGCCUGGGUCCGGCAGCGGGGUUGCCUCAGAGAUCCGAACGCAGACCCAUGGAGCUUCCCCCAGAGCCCGUGGGCCUUGGCCCCAGCCCUGCUCACGGCCCUCUGAGAUGACCCCCUUCCGGUCUGCAGAGACACUGACAGUGCUGCUGAGGCCCGGGCCGUCCACCAUCACCCUGCGCUGGGCAGAGGGUGUGGGGCGUGGGCUCCCAGGCCGUCUCGGCCCCAAGUCCACACCUUGUCUCACUUGGGGCCUGACUUCUUUUCUCUCCAGCUUUGGCAUUUGGCAGUGGGGCUGUGCUGAAGGAGGAAGGGCCCUCAGAGUCUGUUUCGGAGCCUUCGACCAGCAGCGCAACCUUUUGCAGACAUCGGAGGCGGGACACACAUGCAAACAUCCUGGGGGAAGAGACUCGGUGGACAAGGGCCUGAAGACCCACCCCCACCUUGCAGAGUCAGCCUGCCCCAAGCCAGACCAGGAGGCUGUCGCAAAUGUACACAUUUCCAGGAGCUGGGAGACACCAAGGGAGUCACACAGCGAUGCGCUCGGCAGACAUGAGGUGCGAGAGCGUGGUGGGCAGGACCCGCUUGUCUCGCCAGCCUCCCGGGGAUGCGACACCCUCGCUGGACCCCACAGGUCCGCUGGGAGCAGAAGCAAGCUCCUACGUGGAUGAGCAGUGCCUGGCUCGCAGCAAGGGGUCCCUGCGUGGUCCUGUUAGAGUGGACACCAGCGUUCGGGACCUCACAGUCCAUCAGGAAACAGGUAGAGAGGCCACGACUUGUCUCCUCACCAUGGGCCUGAGUGUGACUCAGGACCUCUCCGCGGAGGGCGCCCCAGCAGUAUCUCUCAAAACCAGGCCAGAGAGAGCCCUCGCCCACCCAGAGCCGGCGCUCCUGGGACCCCGUGCCGAGGGGCUCCACCACAGCUCUUUACUGCCCCAACAGUGUCCUUUCAAACAGACAGCAAAGUUUCAACGGUUGCACAAGAACAAGACAAGCGCCCAUCUGGUGCACCCACCCAAGGGGCAGAUGACCCUGAACACCCAGGAGGAUGAAUAAGGUGAUGACCGGUCCCGAGAGUGCCACGGAGACAUGGAAAGCAGGGACUCUAAAUGGCAUCCUUUCAUCUUCUUAAUGUUUACGUAUCAAACUUAACAGAAGAACACAGGGAACUUAGAAACGCAGUGUCUUGGCCGUUGAAGGCUUGAUUAAAAGCUGCAGUCAAUUCCCUCAAACCAUCGAGCCUGCAGUUACUGCCGCAGCGUGAACGAUUCCUCCAAACACUUUAAACGUCUUUCCUGGCAGACGAAACACACACAAGUGUAAUUAUCCCCCAAACUACGGCUACAGUUGCGCUAAAACGGGUUCUAAACAUCGGUGUCCAUUUUUGUUUUCUAUUUAUUUCUAUGCUUGUCUUUAAACCCUCCUAGCUUAUAGCUCUGACUGUUUGGAAGUCCUCCUGGAGUUUAGGUGACAUUGGCUGGUACUUUCCUGGGGUUGCCAAAGUCCUACGUGACCCCAAAGGAGGAGACUGUACCUUCUCAGCCAAUGGGAUUAGGGGAUGAAUAACCCACCUGUUGACUAGUCCAUCCGCCAAAAAACCCCAGGUUUCUGUCCCCGGCCGAGCCCCCCCGGUCUGCAGUCCAUGAUGCCCGUCCCCUACUCAGGAGUCUAAGGGGCGUCCCACACGUCACAGGCCCAGCUGGCUCUUGACUCCUUCUCCCUCUACGCCUGUGCCCCUCCGGCCUCCCCUCUUCACCUCGACCCUUUGCUUCGAGCCUGCAUGAGUCCGAACACACACCUCCCCUGCUUCCACCCCAGCCCCCAAGCGGCCAAAGCUACCUCUUGUUUUUAACAAACUUUUAAACUUAGAACAAUUUUCGAUUUACGGGAAAACUGUGAAGACACACAGAGAGUUCCCAUCUUCCUGCCCCCAGUUUGCCCCAUUAUUUACACUUUCAUCACCGUGGGUCAUUUUUAACGGCUAAUGAGCUGAUAGCGAUACUUUGAUGGAAGUGGGGGUUUUAGCUCUUUCCUGCUUUCUGGCACCACCAAUGCCCCAAGCUCUCCUUUAUUUCCUGCCCUCGUCCGCGUCUGGCUCCUUUCAUUGGAGAUGGUGUGAGAGGCCAUGAUCCAGUGCUGGCUGCGCUCAGGGAGACUGGGUGUCGCUGCGUCGAGACCCGCUCAGCUCAUAGAGAAAAUAUGUGUGUGCAUACGACCAUGUAUAUACGCAUAUCUAUAAACAUAUCUCUGUGUCACAUCUGUAUCUUUUUAAGUCAAACAUGAGUUCAUGCUCCUAUUUCUGAUCUCAUCCAUCACCACAUGGUCCUUCUGGCCUCCUCCCCUGGCUCACCUGGAAGCUCUGAGUUAUCUUUUGAUGAUGAAAGGCAGAGCAGGGCCUGCUCAGAACAUUCCAGUGGUUUUGCCACACACCCAAAGCACAAUGUCAUGGUGUUGUCUAAUUGAACUGACUCUGGCCUGCGAGGGUAUGAGCUCUGCAGAAGAACCUGGGGCUGCUGACUCAAAGCAUCUUCUCUCCAGCCACCUUCCUUUAUUGCUGAGCCGGGAGCACACUGCCUCAGGACCUUUGCAUGACACACUUCCUUGUCUGAGAGGCAUUCCCCAGAUUCCCACGGGGUUCACGUCCUAACUUGAUCCAGGCACAUUCUGACAUCUCUUCCUUGGGAAGGUUCCCGUCUUGCGUCCCUUCACUCUGACGUCUCUUCCUUGGGGAGGUUCCUGUCCUGGGUCCCUUCACUCUGAUGUCCCUUCCUUGGGGAGGUUCCUGUCCUGGGUCCCUUCAGCAGCUCACGGGCCCUGCACAUUCCCCUCCUUCAGUUUCCUUUUCUGCCUCACUGCCCGGGUCAUUGCUCGUUAACCUGUCUAUUUACCUUCUAGUUAAUUAAUUAACUCUUCACCUGUGGAGGAAGCUGGGGAAGAAUUCAGUAUUCUAAAACUGAGAAAUCAAGAGACAGAAUCAAGUAUUUACCCUUGAAUGGAAUGUCUGGGGAGCCAGAGGUCCUGGUGGGCGAAUGUAGACAGAAGGUGGCCAGCGGAGGACACCCAGGGUGCCCAUGCCUGGGGACAGUCCAGCAGGGACGUGCAAGGUCGGCGCCCAGUGAGAGGCCAAGUGAGCUCUGUGAGCUGCUCUAGCAAAUUAUCGUACUGCAGGAGGGGGACGCAGGGACCUCUGAUCUGUAGCCAAGUCGGGCAGAAGUGUGGGUGAGCGGGGGACCCGCGCCUUGUGGCUGGCGUCUGAAGCGGGGCAGUCUUGUGGGGCCGAGCCCUUUGCCUGCAGGCUCUGUGCUGACUCUGGGAGUCAGUGUCAGACCUGAACUGACUUGUAGGACACCCAACCGUGUCUGCAGAGAAGUGGAGAAAUGCUCCGUGUGGGAAAACCCCCAUGUCUGGUGUCUGCGGCGUAGAGAGCUGAGUCCAGGAAGCACCUCACACUUGUGAAGAGGCCCCAGUCCCUGCGCCCCCCCUGGGGUGGAGGCUUGAGGGGUUCCAUGGGGACAAAACUGGCCCCAGGGAGCCACUUCACCUUGGCAGACGGAGCUUCUGGGCACGAAAAGCUCACAUUUAGUCUCCCAGUGGUCCAGGAGAUGAGGGUAGUUACCGGCCCCACUGAUGCUGACGCAGAAGGCUGGGACCCACCAGCAGCUCAGGGGACAGCCCACAGCCACACGUCCUGCCGGCCGCCAGCCACUUUGCACGCCCUCCACACCCACCUCUGGUGACGGCUGCCUUCAUGGUCCACGUGUGCUUCUCGGGGACCUCAGCGACAGGGGACCAAGGUUGGGGGAAGGUCAGGAAUGUGGAUUUGCUCCUGGUUCACAGCUUCUUGUGUUAAGCCCUGGGGUGACGUCAGCAUUUCCGUCCUGGGCUCUCCCAGGCCCCCUGCCGGGACAGAGAGUGGGGCCCCCCGGAAAGGCUGAUCUGGGCCCAGCAGCAGGGCAGGGCAGCCCCGGGAUGGUCCGAGACCAGCAUUCUCUCUGCAGGACGUGCAGACCCCCAUCCUGAGCGGCCUUCCACAGCACUGACAUUCUAGAACACUCCACAGCUGCCGCCCAGGUCUUCGGUUGGGAUUCGGCUACGGAAAUCCAGAAACAUCUUUGACAACACCAUUUAUUGCUGCAACUCUAGCCCUCACCUGCCUCCUGGACUGGGGACCUGCCGGGAGUGGUGUCAGCCGGGGUAGCAGGGCCCUCCUGGCCUCUCUCCCCAGGAAGCCCUGCGCCAGCCAGUCCCACGCACGUGUGCACAUGUGUGAGUGCACGCUCACCCCUCACAUGUGUAAAUGCUUGCACCACACUGACAUCCACACACGGACACAUGUGUGAACACCAUCACACACAUAUGCACACACUCGAACUCACACACACAACAGGUAGCCCCCCAGCUGUUACCCGCCAUCCCCACCCCAGCGGGAGCCACGGGCCCUUGCACGCUGCCUAUCAGGACAGUCCGGCCUGGGGUGGC